This 3652-nucleotide long non-coding RNA is filed under the name Diabrotica virgifera virgifera (western corn rootworm). Its description in RNAcentral is "uncharacterized LOC126879059". Lineage: Eukaryota; Metazoa; Arthropoda; Insecta; Coleoptera; Chrysomelidae. The record is from RNAcentral.
CCUAACUAGAAAUUAUUUUCAGUAUUUAGGUAUUUUAUUUAAUUUAUUGAUUUGAUUUUUAUAUAUUUUACUGGCAUUUUUGAUUUGUUGGUGUGUCGCUAAUAUUUUCUCCAUAUGUAUCUUUGUCUUACAAACUUUAGAUUAUAUUUUAUAUUUGUUAUUUUUGAUAUUUGGGUUGUUUGGUAAGACAGGCACACACCACAAAGCAAUAUCGGUCCACAACAUUAGCUUCUAUACAUGAUACGUUGAAUUCGCAUGGUUUGGAUGACCAUCUGUAAUCAUCCGAACCAUGUUUUUUUUUUUUUUUUUUUUUUUUAUAUAUUUAAAUCUUGUUAUUGAAUUUGCCAUAUUGGAAAGAUGUUGUGGUUUAAUUUGUUAUUAGGUUACUCUAUUGACAUUUGUCUCCAAUAUCUUAAAUACUUUAUAAUAAUUCAGACCCUUAUUUCCUAUACAGUAUGAUUCUGGAAUUAGUUUGGAAUUUUGAUGUAAGUAUGUAUGAAUUCUUGAGUCUUUCAUAUUUCUUCUUAGAAACUACUUAGUCUGUUGAUGCUCAAAGUUGGUGAAUACGUGGGUUCGAAGUUCAGCAAGGCGCCAUUGCUAUCCGAUUUCGCAAUCUAUGUCUUUCAUUGCAGAGUAGACAGAUGUUUAUCUAUCAUAAUAUUUCUGGUCAGGAAAUGCCUGCAGCAUGUCCUAACUAUUCUUGUCUAAUUAGUCCAAUUAUUCCAGUUACAUAUUUACAAUUUGAUAGGGAAGUAUUUAGUUUAUAUUUUAUCUCGUACUUCAUAGUAUGUUUGUUGUUGACUAUCCCUAUACGCAGUAGGUUGUUAAGUCAGUAUUUGGAGUGUUUAGACAAAUGAGUUGUUCAUCAGAGUAUAUUCCCACUUCUUUCCUUAGGCAUUAGUUGCUAUUCAGAUUCUGGAAUAUUUCCUGAAUAAUUCCAUGUAUGUGAGAACGCAUGAAUUUGCAGUUUUAUUUAAAAUUGUGCUCGUUCUCGUCAAUUUUUUUCCCUAUCACUUAUCAUAUUUUUUUUUCUUCCUAUUAUUUAUCAUAGUGCCAUAGACCUUGUAAGUUCACCAUUCAUUCUGUUUUCUUUCUUACUUAUUCUUAUAUUAGUACCUUAUCUGAGUCUGGUUAUUCUCAUACAUCUGUUGUAGCAACAUGCUAUAGUUCGCGAAUACCAGCACGAAUUAAGUUUAUGUAGUUUCUAUAAUAUUUUAGUCAAUACACUGUAGGUAUUUAUCAUACCUUUGAUUUAGUUUGGUUACAUCUCUGUUACUUAAUCUGUUAGUAAUUUUUUAUUCUGACUUAUUUUGAUUACUUAGUUUGGAUAGGUUCAUAUUACCGGAUGAGGGUGUAUGUAGACCUAAUUUAUUUAUUUUGUUCAGUAUUAGUUACCAUUGGAUCCAAUAAUUUAGUUUAUUUAGUAUUAGUAAGAAUUGGUCCAUAAAUUUGCCUGAUCGUUCUUCUUUGGAUAUACUCUUAUAUAAAUCUGGUGUCCAUUGAUAGUCCGAUUCUGGAUAAGUGUCCGAUUCUUCAUUUAUUUUGUGUAUUCGGUUGGAUAGGUUCGUAUUACCGGAUGUGGGUGUACGUAGACCUGAUCUGUUUAUGUGGUUUAGUAUUGGUGUGAAUUGGUCCAUAAAUUUGCCUGGUCGUUCUUCUUUGGAUAUGCCUUUUAUGAAUCUGGUGUCCACUGAUAGUUCGACUUUGGAUUAAGUGUCCGAUUCCACAUCUAUUUUGGUUAUUGAGUUUUGGAUUCCUUUGGUAUGUUUAUUAUUGGUAUUAUUUGGCAUUAGUGAGAGUUGUUCCAUAAAUCUUCCUGAUUGUUCUUCUCUGGAUAUACUAUUAUGAAUCUGGUGUCCAUUGUUAGUUCAAUUUUGGAUUAAGUGUUCAAUUCUUUACUUAUUUUAGUUACUGUUUUUUUUAUUCACUUUGAUAUAUUUACUUGUGAUAUGGUUCGAAUUGGCUCACACCUUUUCCUGGUUGUUCCGUCCUUGGAUAUAUCCUUUAUAAAUCUGAUGUCCAUGGAUAGUUCAAUUUUGGUUUGGUGCCCAAUUCGACACUUAGUAUUAUUAUGAACUUUAGUGCAAUAUUUAGUUUUGUUUGACUUUUAAGCAAUAAUGUGUUAAUAUUUGGUAGCAGAGAGUAACAUAGUAACAUUUUAGCAUGAGUUUGAGUCAUAUAUUUAUUUAUUUUUCCUUGAUAAUUAGUUUAUGCUUAUUGGUAAUCUUGCGAAUCAACGUGGAUUGUUAGACUAUGUAUUGCAAAGUUAGUUGUUAUUAUUUUGAAGUUUAGAAAAAAAAAUUUUAUGGAUAAAAUUUUUUUUCCCAAGUAGAAGGAGAUUGUAACGGUCACGUUACGAAAGUAGCUCUUUAAUAAUUAUUAUUAUUAUUUUCCCUCGGUCUCUCAUUUAAAUUCUCGUAUAGGACCACUGAGGUGACGUCAUACCUCGGUGAUGGAACGUACUCCACCUAUCGAGAAUUAUUCGGGUUCUGAGAGAAUUUGACGUUUACCUUGGCGGAGAAACGCCUCUCGUUCUUUACUUGACUGUGAGCUGUGGUGUCGAAUAGAUAUACCAUAUAGAAUGGCGGAUGAUUUCCUCCAACUUAUUUUAUCACAUAAGAAAUUUAACGUAAAGUAAAAAGUUACCACCAGGGAUUGUCUGGAGUGAGGAGACAUGUGGGUGACAACUCCUGUUGGAGUAUAAAUAGGAAUCAUUCGCCAUUUGGGAGAAACCCUACCAUGAAGUCAUAGACCUUAUUUGACCACCUAGAGAAACCACUACAGCCACAGUCAAGUCAUCAUGGGAGUAUGUCGAUUUGGGAACAAGCUAUGGGAGCGUUCCAGCUCAAUUUUCGUCUUGGCACCUGGGCCUACAGGAGUCAUGGGGUCGCACCAUCCUGGUGCAUCAUUUUCUAGGAUGCAACCGCAACCUCGUUUGGGAACAUUUAGUGAGGUGUUGUAGUAACUAUUGUUUUUUUUUUUAUAUUUCAGACUAUCUGUUAAAUACACUGUUUUUUUUCCAGAUUUAGGUUACCUCUGGUUUUUUUUUGACAUAUUUGUAUAUUAGAUUAUUUGGUUCCCAAACUUUGUAUCUACGGUAACUUCUUGUGCACAGGAAUAAGCCUAGAGAAAAUUAGGUUUUUAAUACUUUAUUAUUGCUUUGAUAUUGGUUUAUGUAAUUCGGGUAAAUUUAUUUUUUUAAUAUUACUAGCUUGUUUCCCAAAUAUUUUACUGUUAUUCGCUUUAUUCCAUUUGUUCGGUUAAUUUAGGUCAUCGUCGGUAUUUAUCUCAACUUCAUUUCUACUUUAGUCAACUGUAUAUUUAACUUUAUUUAUUCAUUAUUGUAUUUUCCCUUAGUGAGGCUUGGGCCUAUUUCUUUGUAGUAUUUUCAUCUUUGUCAGUUUCCUUUAGUUGUACGUAGCGGGCGUACUAUAACCAUUUGGUAGAAGACUUAUGUAAUUUUGUACCCUAUAUGUUAGUGAGAGGUACUUAUACCUGUAAUUUUGUAACAGAUAACAUUAUUGUUGUUAUCUUAGAGAUAACUUUUUGUAUAACUUAUGUCAUUUUAGAGUCACAUGAUAUACACUUUGUGUAACUCAGAGAUUGUCAAAAAUCUAGUAGUUAUUUUUAAUAAAUAUGUAUUUAUUUUGUA